CUGAAACUCAUUAUUAUGAUACACGAUUCGUGGACCAUAAUGGACAGGCAAAAUGUUUAUAUUUUGUCUUAAUUAUUGGAUAGCCCAACUUUUCCAGGUUAAAGGGUCGUGUAGUGUCAGUGUGCAAUCAUUUACCGAAACACUUAAAAAAAUAUAUGGGAUGUGUCUUCUAGGCCUAAUGGAUAAGACUGUUGUCGAAGUCACCACUCCCAGUUAAUGUAAACAAACGUCAAUUCUAACCGGUCAAGUGUGUUCUAAGCACUUUCUGAAACUGCCUGGACCAAUAGAAAAUAAUCCAGAACCAUAUUCAGCUCAGCAAUAAAAAGACAGACAAAUUGUUGACAGCUACAUUCCUGAAGAAGAAAAAAAAAUACCAAGAAUCAACAAAAAAUGUACAAAGAAAUUUAACAUGUGAUUUCACUCUCUGCAAGGUCUGUCGCCUUUUGGUU
Patella vulgata (common limpet) is the source of this 449-nucleotide long non-coding RNA. RefSeq lists it as uncharacterized. The record is from RefSeq and is a predicted model, not a curated record. Lineage: Eukaryota; Metazoa; Mollusca; Gastropoda; Patellidae. The transcript is spliced from 4 exons.